UGUGAUUGGGAGAAUGCAAUCUAAAGAAGUUAGAUUCAUGAGACCAUUCUUUCGUAUACAUAUCCUAAACAUUCCUGAUCAUAGGAUUGCCAAUUGGGCAUUGACAGUCCGUUAAGAUCAGUACAUGUUGUGUCUUCUCUCAGGGAGAGUGACUAGUCUCGAGUCAUUGGUGUGUGUGACAUCAAGACAAGUACGUAGGUGCUCAAUAGAGAAUGAGUUCACUGAACACGAUCAACAAAGAGUUCUCAUAUUCAUGUCACAUGAGACUCAUGGUUGGGAUAAUGCAAAGUAGUCCUUUGACCUGAGGCAUCAUAGUUGUCUUGUGGUUAAGUCCUUGAUCUUUGAUUAUGUCAAAAGUCACUCCAAAAAGAGGGUGUCCACGGCAUAGUUGGGGUUAAGCCACUUAGCCAUGGAGGCAAGUGAAUGCGCAACAAGGGAUCUCUAACCUUCAAACCGUUUGGGGGAGAAUACUCUAUGAUAUGAUUAAGAAUCUCUGGCCAGAGUAUGAAUGAGAUUUAGGAAGUCGUUCCAAAUCACAUUCAAGGUAAUCAUAUAAGCACACGAAUUACAUUGGAUAAUAGACAUGAAUAAACUAUCAAACCAAACAAUGUGGUCAAGAGUAUUGUAUUAGAGAAAGACC
RNAcentral lists this long non-coding RNA (640 nucleotides) under Malus domestica (apple). RNAcentral's name for it is "long non-coding RNA (MDOM_LNC001800)". The record is from RNAcentral. Lineage: Eukaryota; Viridiplantae; Streptophyta; Magnoliopsida; Rosales; Rosaceae.